UACGUAGGGGGCAAGCGUUGUCCGGAUUUAUUGGGCGUAAAGAGCGUGUAGGCGGCUUUGCAAGUCCGUUGUGAAGACUCGAGGCUCAACCUCGAGACGCCGGUGGAAACUGCAAAGCUAGAGUCCGGAAGAGGAGAGUGGAAUUCCUGGUGUAGCGGUGAAAUGCGCAGAUAUCAGGAGGAACACCCGUGGCGAAAGCGGCUCUCUGGGACGGUACUGACGCUGAGACGCGAAAGCGUGGGGAGCAAACAGG
RNAcentral lists this ribosomal RNA (253 nucleotides) under uncultured bacterium. RNAcentral's name for it is "partial 16S ribosomal RNA". It matches the Rfam family "Bacterial small subunit ribosomal RNA", at positions 524 to 776 of the family's 1533-position model. The record is from RNAcentral.